CACUAUACCGUGAAACUGCGAAUGGCUCAUUAAAUCAGUUAUCGUUUAUUUGAUAGUACCUUUACUACAUGGACAACUGUGGUAAUUCUAGAGCUAAUACAUGCUAAAAACCUCGACUUCGGAAGGGGUGUAUUUAUUAGAUAAAAAACCAAUGCCCUUCGGGGCUCCUUGGUGAUUCAUAAUAACUAAACGAAUCGCAUGGCCUUGCGCCGGCGAUGGUUCAUUCAAAUUUCUGCCCUAUCAACUUUCGAUGGUAGGAUAGUGGCCUACCAUGGUUUCAACGGGUAACGGGGAAUUAGGGUUCUAUUCCGGAGAGGGAGCCUGAGAAACGGCUACCACAUCCAAGGAAGGCAGCAGGCGCGCAAAUUAUCCAAUCCCAAUACGGGGAGAUAGUGACAAUAAAUACUGAUACAGGGCUCUUUUGGGUCUUGUAAUUGGAAUGAGUACAAUUUAAAUCCCUUAACGAGGAACAAUUGGAGGGCAAGUCUGGUGGACCUCAGUCCCGCUGCUGACGCCAGAGAUAGUAGGGCCCCGCGAGGGGUUAUGCCUGCUAGUCGAGCAUCCGUUGGUGACGGGUGGAUGCCGGCGAGGUAACCUGGAACGGGGAAGCCUACGGGGGUUUACACCCCUAUGGUAAUCCCGUGGCGAGCCCUGGAGACAGGGCCGUCGUAACGCGCGCCAAGGUACCGGUCGUUGUUCGCAACGGCUCAAGGGACGUGCUGUACCCAUCCGAAAGGAUGAUCCUGCCUGGAGCACCCGUCGUGCGAAGGGUAUUGAUGGGCGGGUUCGCACCUGCCCGGUGUUCAAAUCAAACUAUGAAAAAAAACUACACAAAUCGGAAGGAGAACCUAUGCGGAAUCGACAGAGAGAUGAGAUGGGCCCUGUGCCCCCAGAUAUGUGUAUAGUUUAUAGCACUUAAGAACAUUUUCUAGGCCAGCAGCCGCGGUAAUUCCAGCUCCAAUAGCGUAUAUUAAAGUUGUUGCAGUUAAAAAGCUCGUAGUUGAACCUUGGGUCUGGCCGAUCGGUCCGCCUCACCGCGUGCACUGGCUCGGCCGGAUCUUUCUUUCUGGGGAACCCUAUGGCCUUCACUGGUCGUAGCGGGGAACCAGGACUUUUACUUUGAAAAAAUUAGAGUGUUCAAAGCAGGCCUUCGCUCGAAUACAUUAGCAUGGAAUAAUAGAAUAAGACGUGUGGUUUUAUUUUGUUGGUUUCUAAGACCGCCGUAAUGAUUAAUAGGGACAGUCGGGGGCGUCUGUAUUCCGUUGUCAGAGGUGAAAUUCUUGGAUUUACGGAAGACAAACUACUGCGAAAGCAUUCGCCAAGGAUGUUUUCAUUAAUCAGUGAACGAAAGUUAGGGGAUCGAAGACGAUCAGAUACCGUCGUAGUCUUAACCAUAAACUAUGCCGACUAGGGAUCGGACGGUGUUUUUAUUUUGACCCGUUCGGCACCUUACGAGAAAUCAAAGUGUUUGGGCUCUGGGGGGAAUAUGGUCGCAAGGCUGAAACUUAAAGAAAUUGACGGAAGGGCACCACAAGGCGUAAACCGCAGCAACUCUGCGCCGAACAGCAGCCCGAAAGGGUGAGUGGUGGUCCCUGGGCUCAGGCCCGAAGGUAAAUGCUAGUCCCCCCACUCGGGGGGGCGACACGCUCAAAUUGCGGGAAACUCCUAAAGCUCCAGCUACCAAGCCGGCGUCGAAAGGCGCCGGUGGCCAGGUUAACAGCCUCGGGUACGGUUACAAUGCUGGAGAUGCUACAGUGGACAAUCCGCAGCCAAGCGCCUAACUCUCGUCGCCUCCGGGCGUGCAGACACGGUGAAGGUUCAGAGACUAGAUGGGUGUGGGUCGGAUUGCCCAGCGGGCGAUCCGGUCUAAGAUAUAGUCCGGCCGUCGCGGAAACGCGAUGGGAGUGUAGGCCUCUACGCAACGGGAGCCUGCGGCUUAAUUUGACUCAACACGGGGAAACUCACCAGGUCCAGACAUGCUUAGGAUUGACAGAUUGAGAGCUCUUUCUUGAUUGUAUGGGUGGUGGUGCAUGGCCGUUCUUAGUUGGUGGAGUGAUUUGUCUGCUUAAUUGCGUUAACGAACGAGACCUUAACUUACUAAAUAGCCCGUCUGGCGUUUGCCGGUCGCUGGCUUCUUAGAAGGACUAUCGGCUCAAGCCGAUGGAAGUUUGAGGCAAUAACAGGUCUGUGAUGCCCUUAGAUGUCCUGGGCCGCACGCGCGCUACACUGACAGAGCCAACGAGUACAUCACCUUAGCCGAGAGGUUUGGGUAAUCUUGUUAAACUCUGUCGUGCUGGGGAUAGAGCAUUGCAAUUAUUGCUCUUCAACGAGGAAUGCCUAGUAAGCGCGAGUCAUCAGCUCGUGCUGAUUACGUCCCUGCCCUUUGUACACACCGCCCGUCGCUACUACCGAUUGAAUGGCUCAGUGAGGCCUCCGGACUGGCUCAGGGAGGUCGGCAACGACCACCCAGAGCCGGAAAGCUGGUCAAACUGUGUCA
This 2497-nucleotide ribosomal RNA is filed under the name Caliciopsis pseudotsugae. RNAcentral describes it as "SSU rRNA". It matches the Rfam family "Eukaryotic small subunit ribosomal RNA". The record is from RNAcentral. Lineage: Eukaryota; Fungi; Ascomycota; Eurotiomycetes; Coryneliales; Coryneliaceae.